AAUCGACUAGGCGAUUUAAAACAGGUGUUAAGCCUAGUGCGGUAAGAGGUAUCCCCUCUUACGUCACG
RNAcentral lists this ribozyme (68 nucleotides) under [Clostridium] innocuum 2959. Its description in RNAcentral is "Pistol ribozyme". It matches the Rfam family "Pistol ribozyme". Lineage: Bacteria; Bacillati; Bacillota; Clostridia; Eubacteriales; Clostridiaceae. The record is from Rfam by way of RNAcentral.